AAGUAGUAUAAACUUUUAAAAAAACUAACAUAACUUGGCGGCAAUCACACCCAAAGGAACUUGUUUACCAAUCGAUAAUACCCGUUAAUAUUAACUUUAUUUACAAUAAUUUAUAUACCGCCGUCUAAAAACAAAAUAAAAAAAUCACACUUUUAAUAUAUUCUAUCAAGUCAGGUCAAGGUGUAAUCUAUAAUUAAGUCUAAAUGAGUUACAUUAAAUAUUAUUUAAGAAUUCCAUAUAAACUCAAUUGAAAAAGAAUUAGGAAGUAAUAAAAUCAAUUACGAUAUUAUGAAAUAUACCUAUUGCGC
Molecule: ribosomal RNA, 308 nt
Filed under: Leptoneta infuscata
Lineage: Eukaryota; Metazoa; Arthropoda; Arachnida; Araneae; Leptonetidae
Description: partial 12S ribosomal RNA
Source: RNAcentral